RNAcentral lists this long non-coding RNA (428 nucleotides) under Malus domestica (apple). RNAcentral describes it as "long non-coding RNA (MDOM_LNC010700)". The record is from RNAcentral. Lineage: Eukaryota; Viridiplantae; Streptophyta; Magnoliopsida; Rosales; Rosaceae.
UAUUUGGGCUCUUUUUUAUUUAACUUUAUUUGUCGAAUUUUGCUUGUAUUUAUUUGACUUUAGACCUUUGUUGUGUAAACUUGAGUGGUUGGUAAAGGAAUUGUUUACCUUUGCACCCAAAAAAAAAAAAUAUUCGCUGACUUUGAAGAGUCAUACAUUCUUCCAAACCCUCAACUUCAAAACCUUUAAUUAAUAACGAUAUAUAAAAGGUCCAAUAUUAUGUACUGGUGUUGUUUUUGAUUAAUUAAUCAGCACAAGGAUUAGUCUGACUUUAUGAUCUAGCAAACUAGAAAAUGACGGUAGCUACCUAACCAUGACCACAUUUUUCAUGCUUUAAUAUGUGCAUGAUAUAUGAUAAGAACAAUCUCACUCAAAUUUGCUGGAACACACAUGAUCAGAACCAAAAUAGAGAUUUUUUUGUGAGGGUU